RNAcentral lists this long non-coding RNA (1181 nucleotides) under Homo sapiens (human). RNAcentral describes it as "HSALNT0361315". The record is from RNAcentral. Lineage: Eukaryota; Metazoa; Chordata; Mammalia; Primates; Hominidae.
AUCAGAUGCUGGGCAGGUGGUGUGUUGCCUCCCUCCAUACCAUGCAUCUCUUCCCUUUGGCUGAUCCUGAGGUGUAUCCCUUAGAAAUAAGCUGGUAAAUAGCACGGACCAUGGAAGCAUCUUUUGGCAGCACCAGAGAACUGAGCAUCUCAAAGCAUGAGUUCUUCUGUUUCUUCUGCGUGGGUUGACCAUGGGCAUCAGGCAUCAGAGAUACAACUCUGGAUCUUGUCCAUCCAUUGCUGGGCACUCUGUCCAUCCUGGGCGCAGAAGUUAUACACACGUUUGCUGGUCUUGAGCUACAAAACCAAAUGACAGUGAACCAGAGAUGAAGGGCAGGGCUGUUUUAUGGAUUUGGGAGUCUACUGCUAAGAUUUCAGCAUGUCCUGUGGCUGAGUUAAUCAGAGUUAUGACAGGAAGGUACCGGGCACACCAUCGCAAUGCUCCAUCAAUGCUAGUAUGUUGUGUUCUUUCCUUCAUAUCAAGUCAACUCAAGCUUGCUCUACUUACCUGGUGUACACAGUCUAAGAACUGUAAGAAGACUGGAGCAAAACCACUCCCCUGACAGUUGAGGGUCAAGCUGCUCCUCUGACUGAAUUUGUGACCAAAAGAGAGCCACUCUUUUUCAACCAACAUCUGGAAGCCUUCAAGUGUCCUAUAAAAGGGAUCACUGAGUAACUGAACCAGGGAUGUCACCUAGGGCAUAAGCAGGAUGGAUUGUCAUUAAUUUUAGUUCUGAAAAAGGCCUAUUACUAAGAUAAAAGCACUUCCUUCUGAUGAUAGCUAAUUCACAAAUUUACCUGGACAGCAAAUUUGUUCACUAACCAUUCCAGGAUGGCCAAUAAAAUUAAUUUUGUAAACUUGCCAGUAAAAACUAAAGCUCAAAUUCAUUUUGGCUACAAGUUUACUUUCAGGGAAUUGAGACUUUAAUCCUUAACUGGCCAGUUUGCUGACAGCAACCUUUUCCUAAGUUAAUCAGAGGCCAGAGGAUCAGUUAAAAUCAAUUCUACUUUUUGGCAGAUGCAGAUUAAUGUCUUAAUGUAGUCUGAACUCACACUUUUCACUCUGGAGUGAGUUAAGGCGGGGCUUAUAGAGAGCCAGGGGAUGGACUGACAAAACCCAGGAAGGAUGGUCCACGCCUCACACUGCUGGUCAAGGGCUCCAUCCGCAAGCCUGCAUGGUAC